This 301-nucleotide ribosomal RNA is filed under the name uncultured bacterium. RNAcentral describes it as "partial 16S ribosomal RNA". It matches the Rfam family "Bacterial small subunit ribosomal RNA", at positions 509 to 807 of the family's 1533-position model. The record is from RNAcentral.
CAGUCGCCGCGGGAAUACAGAGGGUGCGAGCGUUAAUCGUAUUUACUGGGCGUAAAGCGUGCGUAGGCGGCUUCUUAAGUCGGAUGUGAAAUCCCUGAGCUUAACUUAGGAAUUGCAUUCGAUACUGGGAAGCUAGAGUAUGGGAGAGGAUGGUAGAAUUCCAGGUGUAGCGGUGAAAUGCGUAGAGAUCUGGAGGAAUACCGAUGGCGAAGGCAGCCAUCUGGCCUAAUACUGACGCUGAGGUACGAAAGCAUGGGGAGCAAACAGGAUUAGAUACCCGCGUAGUCCCUGUCUCUUAUAC